This 5342-nucleotide long non-coding RNA is filed under the name Salmo salar (Atlantic salmon). Its description in RNAcentral is "lncRNA (ENSSSAG00000102581.1)". Lineage: Eukaryota; Metazoa; Chordata; Actinopteri; Salmoniformes; Salmonidae. The record is from RNAcentral.
GUCUGCAUGUAAACAGCUCUAUCGGUCUGCAUGUAAACAGCUCUAUCGGUCUGCAUGUAAACAGCUCUAUCGGUCUGCAUGUAAACAGCUCUAUCAGUCUGCAUGGAAACAGCACUAUCAGUCUGCUAUGACAUAUUUUCUUCUCUCCUCCUCAUCCUCCACCUUCCAGACAAUCAAAUAGGACACAUUAGGAUCAUGUGACAGAUUGUUUAUACUGUCAGUGCAUAUACACGCCCGCUGUUUCUUUCCCCUGGCCUAGAAACGAGAGUAUAACCCAGACAGGGCAGGUUCUGGGGCCAUGAUAAAAUGCUGCAGGGCUCUGCACUGAUGUCCAUUCACAUUUCCCCUGCUCGCUAUGUCACUAUUCAACCCUACACGUCAUAAUCACAUUACUGUCAAAGGCCGGCUUUGUGCCCCUCUCAGUCACGUUCUCAUUUUUCUCCCUGACAAUGGAGACGUUACUGAAAUAAGCCUCAUUCCUGGCUGGCUCAGAGUAGAGGGAGGAGAGAAGAGGAAACGGAACAGAAGAGAGAACUUAACCCUACAUGUAAGUAUUUAACCACCUGAAUCGUUCAACAUUGUGUACAGAAACCGGAUUGUGUACAGACAUCAUAAUCCUAGACAUUACUCUGACGACAUAGUCUGUUUAUAUAUAUAUAACCAUCUUCAACAGGGUACAUCCACAGACACCUGAUCUCUCUCUCUCCUAGACAGAAGGAAAAGCGCUGCAGGUGCAGGACAUGUUGAGAGAUGGGUUGUAUUAACAUUAUAGUCUCUGUCCCACCUGAGCCCAGAAACGCUACAAAAAACAAUACCUUUCCCCCUCUCUACACAGGACUGAUGGAGUGGGCGUCGCUAACAUUCAAAAACACUCUAGAACACUGUAAAAUACUCUAGAACACUGUAAAACAUUCUAGAACACUGUAAAAUACUCUAGAACACACACACAGCACAACGCUUUGGUCCUAUUCAAUCAAACACUACAACCAGGUUUCUGGGGAAAGGUACAAAAUGACAGAGAUCAUGUAGUGGUGUCUCUAGUUGGCUUCAGAGAGGAAAGAGGGAGACAGAGAGAGAGAGACAGAGAGAGAGAGACAGAGAGAGAGAGACAGAGAGAGAGAGACAGAGAGAGAGAGACAGAGAGACAGAGAGAGAGAGAGACAGAGAGAGAGAGAGACAGAGAGACAGAGAGAGAGAGAGAGAGACAGAGAGAGAGAGAGACAGAGAGAGAGAGACAGAGAGAGAGAGAGAGAGAGAGAAACUCAUCCAGACAGGGCAGACAGCCACAGGUCUCGAGGGUUAGAUGUGUUGUUAUUUGUUAUUUUUGGAGACUGAUAUUUUGGGGUGUUUUUGUUGUAUUCUUCUACUCUGGUGAGGAGGAAGUGGACAGGAACUGGCUGACAUUUUCUAAACAGAAGCCCUAAGGGGAUAGGUGCUGUGUUUUACCAGACUAGUGUUACCUCAGUGUUAUUAGUUUCCCUGAUGAAACGCCUGAAGCUCCUGACACUAAUUUAAUCUCUGUUUCUUUCUGUUACAUCUGUUAGACUAGAGCUCUCCUGAUCUGGUAUUGAUUCUGUUAGACUAGAGCUCUCCUGAUCUGGUAUUGAUUCUGUUAGACUAGAGCUCUCCUGAUCUGGUAUUGAUUCUGUUAGGUCUGUUAGACUAGAGCUCUCCUGAUCUGGUAUUGAUUCUGUUAGACUAGAGCUCUCCUGAUCUGGUAUUGAUUCUGUUAGACUAGAGCUCUCCUGAUCUGGUAUUGAUUCUGUUAGACUAGAGCUCUCCUGAUCUGGUAUUGAUUCUGUUAGACUAGAGCUCUCCUGAUCUGGUAUUAAUUCUGUUAGACUAGAGCUCUCCUGAUCUGGUAUUCAUUAUGUUAGGUCUGUUAGACUAGAGCUCUCCUGAUCUGGUAUUAAUUAUGUUAGGUCUGUUAGACUAGAGCUCUCCUGAUCUGGUAUUGAUUCUGUUAGGUAGGUUAGACUAGAGCUCUCCUGAUCUGGUAUUCAUUCUGUUAGGUCUGUUAGACUAGAGCUCUCCUGCUCUGGUAUUGAUCCUGUCCCUAACAUUGUCUUACAAUCAAUGUGCUCUGCUAGAUCUGGUGGGCUCUAGGUUUUAGGCUCUUGAAUUAAUUUGUUCAUGUCACGCCUGCUCCCACUCCCCCUCCCCCUCCCUGGCGCUCGAGGGCGCCAGGCUGCCCAUCUUUACGCACACCUGUCACCCUCAUUAUGCGCACCAGUGCAAUAUUGGACUCACCUGGACUCCUUCACUUUGUUGAUUUCCCCUUCUAUAUCUGUCUGUUCCUCAGUUUGUUCCCUGUGUCAGCAUUAAUGUCGUUAUGUUUUUCAUGUCCAGAUGCUGUCCUGUCUUGUUUCAUGUCUGUUUAUGAAUUAAAUGUGCACUCCCUGUAUUUGCUUCUCGUCUCCAAGCGUCUGUCCUUAAGGUUCAUGUGUUCCGUCAUUCAUCUAUUCUAUUCAUUUAUUCUAUUCAUUAAUUUAUUCAUUCAUCCAUUUACUCAUUAAUUCAUGCAUGCAUGCAUCCAUUCCUCCAUUCUUCCUGAACUCAGCAAACAUCUCCUCUAAUUCUGCUGCCUGCAAAUGGUCUGUAAGUGACUGAUCAGCAGUCCUGGUAUGAAUCAGUCAUUCAGAGGCUUCUCGUGCAUCUUAAAUAUGGCAUACAGGAACAGAGGGAACCUUUGGAAUGACAAAUGCAGUUAAAAAGAACUUUCAUGAAGAAUUUGGAAGCCUUUUUCAUUCAUAUGUAAAAUGCAUGCGUGACUAAGUCACUUUGGAUUAAAGUUCCACUAAAUAUAUUAUUAUAUUGUCACAUUCUAAUGAGAGUUAGUGAAUCCUAGUUAUCUUGUCGACUAGGCUGCUGACUGCCAGUUCAUGUUUCCUAUGCAGAUAGCACAUUAAAAUACAAUGGCAUUCAAAGGUGUCCUCUUAUCUCAGGAAAUAAUGAGCUGUUUUUGAAUAGGAGAUUCAUAUUAUUCUGCAUAGAAAAAUAAAUACAUGUAACUCCUCUGUCUAUGGCUUCCAAUUAAUUUAGUCUCUGAUCUAUUCUGGUGUCACCACAUUAAAUUCCUUGGAAACGUGUGUGAGAGAGAAAAAGAAAUACAAAAUGUGAAUAUAAUUCAUGCUGAGAACCAUUGGACUGUGCCAGCCAGUGGUAGAACUGUAUCUUCCUUAAAGAUAAUUGUAUUUCCCCCCCAACAUAUUUUCCUCCUGACAAAGAAGAGAGGAGAUAUAUGUGAUUAAGUUGAAAGUGAGUGUAGGGGAAUGCGGAAAUAAGUGGUAUAAUUAGUAUUAGCUGUAAUUUGGAUGGUGUUUUAAAGUACUCCUGUGGUGUCUGAGGGAGAUACUGAGGGUUAAUGAAGAAAAACACCCUAUUCCCUAUCUAGUGCACUACUUUUGGCCAGGGUCCAUAGUGCUCCAGUCAAAGUAGUGCACUACAUAGUAAAUAGGGUGCUGUUUGGGUCACAAGCCCGGACCACUCUCCUGUAGACCUCUGCCACUGCUGUCUCUGCCACUGUUAGAUGUGCACUGUGAAGAAUACAGAGAGGAACCCAUAUCAAUAUGACCUUGGGAAGGGUAGCAGGGAAGGGGAGGUCAGUGAUUGAACCAGCCAAUUAUGCUAGAGCAAGUAAGGCCACCUAAAUUUGUAUAUGCUGACCAUACAAUCUGACCCAUUAGCUGAACCUUAGUCAUAGGGCUAUGGUCAAAAGUAGUGCACUAUAUAGGGAAUAGGAUGACAUUUUGGAUACACCCUUAGAGAUAAUGUGUCUACCUAUUCUCUACUGCUGUUCAGUGGAAGAUGUCCACAAACACCAGGAACACUUUCACUGUCUGGAUGCCACAAACAACGCCAACAUAAGUAAACAUCCAGCCAGCCAUUAACUAAUAAUGGGUUAUACGUUAUAUGACUGAGCCUGAAAAGACACAUCAGAGUAGCAAUAAGACAUGUUAGAGGGGGAAAGAAAUAUGUCUAUGGGAAGAUGUAGUGAUAGACAAUGAUGUUAGCCCCACCAGGAAACAGGCUUAAUGGACAGAGUGGUUCUGAUGAUAAGAGUCAAUUCUGCUGUUAUUGUGGAUGUUUUCCUCUUCCGGUCAACAUCCUGCUACUUUGUACAAUAACAACCAGAUAGAACCAGUCUGAGCUAAUCAGAGCCAGAUAGAACCAGUCUGAGACAGUCAGAAUCAGAUAGAACCAGUCUGAGCUAAUCAGAAUCAGAUAGAACCAGUCUGAGCUAAUCAGAAUCAGAUAGAACCAGUCUGAGCCAGUCAGAAUCAGAUAGAACCAGUCUGAGCUAAUCAGAAUCAGAUAGAACCAGUCUGAGCUAAUCAGAAUCAGAUAGAACCAGUCUGAGCCAGUCAGAAUCAGAUAGAACCAGUCUGAGCCAGUCAGAAUCAGAUAGAACCAGUCUGAGCCAGUCGGAAUCAGAUAGAACCAGUCUGAGCCAAUCAGAAUCAGAUAGAACCAGUCUGAGCCAAUCAGAGCCAGAUAGAUCCAGUUGUUUAGCAUUUUAUAUUUAAACAUGAAGACUGUGAACUCCACUAUGUAUGUGCUAUCACCAGUAGGAUCCAUGGUGGACGUGAUGCUAUUGGUGGAUGCCUGUGAAGAAAACAGUACAUUAUUGAGUUGACAGAAGUUAAAAAGUGUGAAGAGGAGAAAAGUGGAAAAGUCUCUAGGGAAACUGAGGUUUUGAUAGAUGUUGUACAGACUUGUGUAACUGACCAGAUAUCGAACCCCGCUGUAAUCCCACUGAGCUAAAGCGUAGGUAUAAACUCUGGUAGCUAACGUGGGUCUUCAGGUCUCAGACAAUGUAACUCAUGACUUUGAUCAUGUGGUCUUCUUACUACAGCAUGAGUAAAUAUACAUAUUUUGGCCCAUCUUAAAACUUAAGGUUAAUUAUGGUAUUGUGAAUUCACAUUCCCAACAUGAUCGUGAAUUCCCAUGAAAAAACGUCUAAUUGUUGGCAUAACACCAGAUAGCCUUUUGGCAACAGGAUAAACCACUUGGCCCUCCUUUUUACAGACAGUCUUAUCCAGAGCAACUUACAGGAGCAAUUAGGGUUAAGUGCAUUGCUCAAGGGAAGCUAGUCGUCUCAGGGAUUCGAACCACCAACCUUUUGAUAACUGCUUGGCUCCCUGUUGCCCACACUCCUGAGGAGACUGCUUGCAUCCCAAAUUGCAACCUAUUCUCUCUAUAAGACAGUCAAAAAAUAUCAUAAAGAAUAAGGAAUAGGUUUUUGAAGUGUCUGUCCUACAGUGGUGGAAAAAAGUAUUUGAUCCCCUGCUGAUUUUGUACGUUUGCCCACUUACAAAGAAAUGAUCAGUCUAUAAUUGUAA